CGGAGGGUGCAAGCGUUAUCCGGAUUUACUGGGUUUAAAGGGUGCGUAGGUGGGUAGGUAAGUCAGUGGUGAAAUCUUCAAAGCUUAACUUGGAAACUGCCAUUGAUACUAUUUAUCUUGAAUACUUUGGAGGUAAGCGGAAUAUGUCAUGUAGCGGUGAAAUGCUUAGAUAUGACAUAGAACACCAAUUGCGAAGGCAGCUUACUACACAGUUAUUGACACUGAGGCACGAAAGCGUAGGGGAUCAAACAGGAUU
Molecule: ribosomal RNA, 256 nt
Filed under: uncultured bacterium
Lineage: Bacteria
Description: partial 16S ribosomal RNA
Rfam family: Bacterial small subunit ribosomal RNA
Source: RNAcentral